RNAcentral lists this ribosomal RNA (1012 nucleotides) under Echinocatena arthrinioides. RNAcentral's name for it is "SSU rRNA". It matches the Rfam family "Eukaryotic small subunit ribosomal RNA", at positions 87 to 1106 of the family's 1831-position model. The record is from RNAcentral. Lineage: Eukaryota; Fungi; Ascomycota; Dothideomycetes; Venturiales; Sympoventuriaceae.
CUGCGAAUGGCUCAUUAAAUCAGUUAUCGUUUAUUUGAUAGUGCCCAUUACUACUUGGAUAACCGUGGUAAUUCUAGAGCUAAUACAUGCACAAACCCCCGACUUCGGAAGGGGCGUAUUUAUUAGAUAAAAAACCAAUGCCCUCCGGGGCUGUUUGGUGAAUCAUGAUAACGCAACGAAUCGCAUGGCCUUGCGCCGGCGAUGGUUCAUUCAAAUUUCUGCCCUAUCAACUUUCGAUUGUAGUCUAGUGGACUACAAUGGUUUCAACGGGUAACGGGGAAUUAGGGUUCGACUCCGGAGAGAUGGCCGGAGGAACGGCCAUCACAUCCAAGGAAGGCAGCAGGCGCGCAAAUUACCCAAUCCCAACGCGGGGAGGUAGUGACAAAAUUUACUGAUACAGGGCUCUUUUGGGUCUUGUAAUUGGAAUGAGUACAAUCUAAAUCCCUUAACGAGGAACAAUUGGAGGGCAAGUCUGGUGCCAGCAGCCGCGGUAAUUCCAGCUCCAAUAGCGUAUAUUAAAGUUGUUGCAGUUAAAAAGCUCGUAGUUGAAGCUUGGGCCUGGCCGGCCGGUCCGCCUCACCGCGUGCACUGGUGCGGCCGGGCCUUUCCCUCUGCGGAACGGCAUGCCCUUCACUGGGCGUGUCCAGGAAGCAGGACUUUUACUUUGAAAAAAUUAGAGUGUUCAAAGCAGGCCUUUGCCCGAAUACAUUAGCAUGGAAUAAUGGAAUAGGACGGCGCUCCUAUUUUGUUGGUUUCUAGGAGAGCCGUAAUGAUUAAUAGGGACAGUUGGGGGCAUCCGUAUUCAGUUGUCAGAGGUGAAAUUCUUGGAUCAACUGAAGACGAACUACUGCGAAAGCAUUUGCCAAAGAUGUUUUCAUUAAUCAGUGAACGAAAGUUAGGGGAUCGAAGACGAUCAGAUACCGUCGUAGUCUUAACCAUAAACUAUGCCGACUAGGGAUCGGGCGAUGUUACUUUGUUGACUCGCUCGGCACCUUUCGAGAAAUCAAAGUGG